UACGAGGGGAGCUAGCGUUGUUCGGAAUUACUGGGCGUAAAGCGUGCGUAGGCGGUUUGCCGUGUCCUGUGUGAAAGCCCCGGGCUCAACCUGGGAAUUGCAUGGGAAACUGGCAGGCUUGAGUGUGGCAGAGGAGGGUGGAAUUCCGCGUGUAGCAGUGAAAUGCGUAGAGAUGCGGAGGAACACCGAUGGCGAAGGCAGCCCUCUGGGCCAACACUGACGCUCAGGCACGAAAGCGUGGGGAGCAAACAGG
Molecule: ribosomal RNA, 253 nt
Filed under: uncultured bacterium
Lineage: Bacteria
Description: partial 16S ribosomal RNA
Rfam family: Bacterial small subunit ribosomal RNA
Source: RNAcentral